Molecule: ribosomal RNA, 497 nt
Filed under: uncultured bacterium
Lineage: Bacteria
Description: partial 16S ribosomal RNA
Rfam family: Bacterial small subunit ribosomal RNA
Source: RNAcentral
GAUGAACGCUGGCGGCGUGCCUAAUACAUGCAAGUCGAGCGAACAGACCAUGAGCUUGCUCCUUUGACGUUAGCGGCUGACGGGUGAGUAACACGUGGAUCACCUACCUAUAUUACUGGGAUAACUUCGGGAAACCGGAGCUAAUACCGGAUAAUAUAUUGAACCGCAUGGUUCAAUAGUGAAUGUCGGUUUUGCUGUCACUUAUAGAUGGUUCCGCGCUGCAUUAGCUAGUUGGUAAGGUAACGGCCUACCAAGGCGACGAUGCGUAGCCGACCUGAGAGGGUGAUAGGCCACACUGGAACUGAGACACGGUCCAGACUCCUACGGGAGGCAGCAGUAGGGAAUCUGCCGCAAUGGGCGAAAGCCUGACGGAGCAACGCCGCGUGAGUGAUGAAGGUCUUCGGAUCGUAAAACUCUGUUAUUAGGGAAGAACAGAUGUGGAAGUAGCUAUGCACGUCUUGACGGUACCUAAUCAAGAAGCAACGGCUAACUACGUG